ACUUAAAUAGCUUAAAUCUAAAAGCUUAACUCUGAAGAAGUUAUGAUAGGUGAUUACCUUUUAGGUA
Molecule: transfer RNA, 67 nt
Filed under: Plautia crossota
Lineage: Eukaryota; Metazoa; Arthropoda; Insecta; Hemiptera; Pentatomidae
Description: tRNA-Phe
Source: RNAcentral